AUUUUAGCGAAGGAUAUCUUGAGGACUGCAUUUGUCAGAUGAGGGAUGUUGCGGAAAACGACAUCCGAA
This 69-nucleotide ribosomal RNA is filed under the name Pseudo-nitzschia fraudulenta. RNAcentral's name for it is "partial 5.8S ribosomal RNA". The record is from RNAcentral. Lineage: Eukaryota; Bacillariophyta; Bacillariophyceae; Bacillariales; Bacillariaceae.